AACGAACGCUGGCGGCAUGCCUAACACAUGCAAGUCGAACGAGACCUUCGGGACUAGUUGCGCACGGGUGCGUAACGCGUGGGAACCUGCCCUUAGGUUCGGAAUAACUCCCCGUAGGGGGUGCUAAUACCGGAUAAUGUCUUCUGAUCAAAGAUUUAUCGCCUUUGUUGAGGCACGCGUUGGUUUAGCUGGGUGGUAGGGUAAAAGCCUACCACGGCGACGAUCCAUAGCUGGUCUGAGAGAAUGGUCAGCCACACUGGGACUGAGACACGGCGCAGACUAUUACACGAAGCAGCAGUGGCUAAUACUGCCCAACGGGCGAAAGCCUGAUCCAGCAAUGCCGCGUGAGUGAUGAAGGCCUUAGAGUAGUAAAGCUCUUUUACCCGGGAUGAUAAUGACAGUACCCAGAGAAUAAGCUCCGGCUAACUUCGUG
Molecule: ribosomal RNA, 433 nt
Filed under: uncultured bacterium
Lineage: Bacteria
Description: partial 16S ribosomal RNA
Rfam family: Bacterial small subunit ribosomal RNA
Source: RNAcentral